Molecule: long non-coding RNA, 1110 nt
Filed under: Mytilus galloprovincialis (Mediterranean mussel)
Lineage: Eukaryota; Metazoa; Mollusca; Bivalvia; Mytilida; Mytilidae
Source: RNAcentral
GAUAAAGUACAGAUAUAACAAAGAAACUGCCCGGUAUCCGACGUAAGAGUACACUUUUUACUGCACGCGUAGUCGGGUGUGUUCACUACGAGGACACUUAUACCCAACUACGCGUGAAGUAUGAGUACAGAAUCGUCCCAUACAGGGCAUUUUCUAUGUUAUCCUAGUAUAUUGUCCGACAGUUAAGAAUAGAAUCUGGUUCAGGGAGACGUCACUCAAUUUACCAAAAAAAUAAUUGAUGUUUUAAGGAACUGUAGAGGUCUCCACAGGUUUUCAACAAGGGUAGAAUUCAAAACCUUGAAUAUGAAAGCCUCGAAAUCCAUGAUACUUUUUCUGUGCGGUAGUUAUAUCUACAAAAUCCAAUCAUGUACACGACAUAUAAUACAUGUAUAUUAUAUAUUGGGAAUUUAUUUUUGUUUCCAAACAGAAUUAUAAGGUUAUGUAUAAGUGCCUCCGUUCACUGCACAAUUGUAAAUUGUCUUCCUAAAGACCAGCAAAAAAAAAAAAAAAAAAAAAGGCACAAGUUCACGUAGUCAUAAAAAAAGUCGUAUAAUUUACGUUAGCGAACAAAAAAUCAGAAAUACGGAAUAUUAUAUGUGAAUGGUUAGAAAAUCCGUUUCCCCUACAUAUUUUAAAAGUCAAAGAAAAAUGUUUUCCCUGAUACAAACGUUUCAAGAACCAGCUUUGUGUAACCUAUAGGCAAAUUUGACUGGAUAUAAGGAAGUUAAUAUGUUUACUCUGAUUUGAAAUUAUCUUUUAGAACUUUUUUUAGUAAUUGAGAACCUAUGUUGUUUAUGGGUAAUAGGUGAAAUGUUGCAUGAUCCCUUAAAAUGACAGCAAGCGCAGUUUUCCGGACGAUUUUCAUUUGUACACUGCUAAAACUGUCAGGUCCUGGCCAUGGUAUAUUUUGGAGAAUAUUUUUUUUACUGAUUUUUACUAGAAAAAAUAUUCUCUGUGUGUGCCAUUGCAAGAAAUUGUUUUGCUCGUUAUUUUGUCAUAUUAAAAAAAAUUAUUAACAAAAUUUCCCCGUUUAAACUGUAUUAGAAAAAAGUUUGGCAUGUGAAACGGACGAAGACAUAUUCUAACAGAAGUACAAAUACCAGUCCUACC